This 385-nucleotide long non-coding RNA is filed under the name Ananas comosus (pineapple). RNAcentral's name for it is "long non-coding RNA (ACOM_LNC018043)". Lineage: Eukaryota; Viridiplantae; Streptophyta; Magnoliopsida; Poales; Bromeliaceae. The record is from RNAcentral.
AUUCGUAAUAUUCACCUCGUUUUCAAUCCAAUUUUUUGAAAAAUUCGUACGAGUUUAAUUUACCUUCGAAUCAAUCCAAUAGCUCAUAUUCAACUUUUACGGAGCAAAAUUUUACAUAAAAAUUUUAACAUCAUAAAAUAUUAUAAUUAAAGAUUGUUGGAUUCUACAUCAUUCUCACUAUCACGCCCCACGACCGCCAAUUAGACUGCUUCGGGUACGUCUAUCAGACGCCGAACAGACAGAACCUCCUCUGUCUGCCCAAGGCUCCACAAUCAAGACAACAUGUAUAAUAAAUUCGCCCAGAAAUGAAUUUCAAUUAUACAUGGCUUGCACAAGGGCAAGCAACAAUAUAAGUGAAAGUACUAACUAUUUAAACAUUCAUUGU